CAUAGCGACUAUCGUGGCAUAUCAAUAAGCGGAGGAAAAGAAACUAACAAGGAUUCCCUUAGUAACGGCGAGUGAAGCGGGAAGAGCUCAAAUUUGAAAUCUUCAAGGUUCUACCUUGACGAAUUGUAGUUUAAUAGAAGUGUUUUCUGUUAGUAGGAGUGGCAAAAGUUCUUUGGAAUAGGACAUCAUAGAGGGCUGAGAAUCCCGUAUUUGGUCAUUCUUUCUAGCUUUGCGAUACACUUUCAACGAGUCGGAUUGUUUGGGAAUGCAGUCCAAAAUGGGUGGUAAAUUUCAUCUAAAGCUAAAUAUUGGCGAGAGACCGAUAGCGAACAAGUACCGUGAGGGAAAGAUGAAAAGAACUUUGAAAAGAGAGUUAAACAGUACGUGAAAUUGUCAAAAGGGAAGCGUUUGACACCAGUGUCGUUUUUCCGAAAAUCAAUUAUAAAUGUUUUGUUUCUGAGGAGUGAUGACUUCAUCGGCUUCCUUCUCUCUUCACGAAACUUUUGUAAUGCACUUUUCGGUUAACAAGUCAACAUCAAUUUCUUUUGUUGUAAAAGGGUAUGAGGAAGGUGGCUUUCUUUUCGGAGAAAGUGUUUAUAGCCUUGUACCUCUGCAAUCGGAGAGAUUGAGGUCUGCAGCGUAGAUCCUUCGGGGUUAGAUACAUUUGUGCUAAGUUAUAGCUUUUCAUAGACAACUUGUUGACUAUGUUUAGUCUUGUAGCUUACUCGCUUAUGCUAUUUUACCUACGCUUAGGAUGUUGACGAGACUGUCGAUCUC
This 777-nucleotide ribosomal RNA is filed under the name uncultured Neocallimastigales. RNAcentral's name for it is "partial large subunit ribosomal RNA". It matches the Rfam family "Eukaryotic large subunit ribosomal RNA", at positions 22 to 645 of the family's 3401-position model. The record is from RNAcentral. Lineage: Eukaryota; Fungi; Neocallimastigomycota; Neocallimastigomycetes; Neocallimastigales.